Anthonomus grandis grandis is the source of this 1852-nucleotide long non-coding RNA. RefSeq lists it as uncharacterized. The record is from RefSeq and is a predicted model, not a curated record. NCBI's taxonomy places the organism in Eukaryota, Metazoa, Arthropoda, Insecta, Coleoptera, Curculionidae. The transcript is spliced from 3 exons.
UUUUAAAUUUUUAACACAAUUCUAACUUUAUUCAAAUUGCUUCUAAGGUAGGCAUAAACGCUGAAGACGAUUUUAAGAAAUAUCAUAGGCGAAGAUUAAUACCCAAAUGGUUAGAUGAAAAUAAUCAAACUCAAGCAGAUUUUGACUUGUACACAUUUUAUAGAAAAGAAUUUAAAAGCGUUAUGGAUACUUUUAUAAACAAAAUUAGGGCAUCAAUUGAACAUAUUGUUUCCAAUUUGUCACCCUUUUUCAAAAUCUUUAAUUUCCCUUUCACAUCAAUUGAAGACCACAGGGGAAAAAGGAUGAGGGUCCAAAAAACGAAAAAUUGAGAUAGACACGCCAAAUCGCGGAAAAAAUCCAGUAUUUUACGUCUAUUAUACCGUACCGAGGAAAACAAAUGAGAUGACCAUAUAAGGUGCGUUUUGGUAUAUGCCAUACAGGGGAAAAAAGAUGAUGGUCCACUCGAUUUAUACAUAUUUUUGUCUGCUUCACGUGUUUUUCACGGAAUUUUUAAGAUGGCUGAGUGUGAAUCUUCAAGCGUUACUAAAAAAAGGCCAAAAUUAGGUCGCGUUUUUGACUCGUACUAAGAUUGCUAACUAAGAUUGCAAACACAUGAAACUGGUAGCAGUUGUAAUUUCAAUGUUAAAAUGUUUUGAAGUAAUUGGUGUUCAAGACCGUUUGGCGAUUAUUAAAAACUUUAAUGAAAUAAAAUCCUAUAAUGAGCAGACCUUAUACUUGGCAGGUCUCAUUUCGCAUGAGCCAGUUAAAAGACGGCGCCAAAGAAAAGCUAACGAUGAAGAUGUAGUUUAUCACUCAUUCUCCUACAAAUAUAAGGUUCGAGUAAUGCGAGAUAAUGGAGCCAAAGAGAUUCCUGUUUGCUACAAAACAAUGCUGUCGUUACAUGGAAUAUCAGCGAAGCGUAUUCAAAACAUCCAGCAAAAGCUUGUUAAAGAUGGACAUGUUGGUGAAGAUGGUCUUGGUCGACAUUCCAAUCGACCAAACAAGUUACACCAAGAAACCACUAAUGCUGUCUUUGCUCAUAUUCGAUCAUUUAAAGUUUCAGUUACCCACGCAGUGACACAUGCAGCAGUUGCGAUGAAUAUAAAGCAAAAAUUGCAGAUCCUUCACAGGCUUCAAACCUUGCUACAUUACAUGUGACAAAUCAACUUCACCUUAAGAAGGCAGAGGCUUUUUAUCAAAGAAAAUGAUCCGAACGCAAAAGAGCUCAACAACACCGCCAUAUUGAAGCUAUUGCUAUGGAUUAUCAAAAAAACUUGCCACUGCCAAACAUUAGCACUAAUGACGUAUACUACAAACGACAGUUAUCCUUCUACUUAUUUAAUAUUCACGUUUUAGCCAGUGGUGAGCAUUUUUUUAUACGUACACAGAAACCGCCGCAAAAAAAGGAGCAGACGAAGUUGCUUCUAUGCUGUUUAAUUACAUACUCAAUGAAUUGAAUCUCGAAGUUCAAGAACUUUCGAACAAGAGAUUUUUCGAAGCUGGACUGAUCAUUUAACAAUGUACAAUAUGUAACAAAAUGUCUCUUUGAAACCCGCCCAAUCAGAGAACUGCUCAUAAAAAAGAAGAGCCCAGAAUGAUCGAUCAUCGUGAUUCGUACAAUGGAGGCUUUAUUUCAAGCGUCGUAGUGCCUACAAAAAAAAACUAGGAACUACCAAAAAAGGAAAAGCGAGGGAAUAAGCAGCCAAAGGCAAAUUAAAAAAUGCAGACAAUAUAGUUGGUAUAUUAGAUCUACCUUCAGGACAAUUUGAACUUCCAAAUUUCAAAUAUGAAAACAGGAUUCCCAUCAAUGCUAAGAAAUACCAAAACCUGCAGGAUUUAAAACGUUUUUGUA